GCGGGCCCAAGGUAGAGCCCCUCCUUUCCGCCCGACGGCCUCUCACGGCCCGCACCAGAGUGUGCCGGGCCCGGCCGCACACUGACCCGGGGACCGAGACCUCUGGCGACGCGCUGUGCGCCUAGCAAGUGGGAGGGAGAGCCGGGCGCGUCCCCGACCUGCCCACGCCCCCGAGGAAGGGCGCUCCGAGGGACGGAGCUGGCCGUCCGGGGGACUGCGGAUGCCGCUGGGGGCUCCUGUUUCUGGAGGAAAUAACUGAGGGUGCGGCGAGGCGGGGGGCGAAGACUUUGGAUUUGACGCUGGUGGCAAUCGCGACCCCUCCGAGAAAUGGGAGGCAGUCCAACGUUGGAGUCAGCACCUGCCGCUAAUAAUCUGUACAACUCUGGGAGUGGCGGUUCGCACGCACAGAGCCGGGGUGGUCGGAUGGAGAUGUCUGUAUGGAGGUCUAUUUGCAAAGCUGAAGCGGUCUUGGUUCCUACGCGGCGUAGACUCCCGGGAGGGAUGGGUCGGCCGAAAAGUGCAUGCUCCAGGCUGACUUCAUCGCGUCUCAUAAAGAUACCGUCUGAAAGCGGUCGAGCUGGAUGAACUCUGAUUGUCAGCCCUGAUCCACCCUUCGGGCUACACUUCCUUCCACCCCGGGCGUUCCCUAGGUGCGUUCCCGACGUUGGUAAAGGAAAGCUUCUGCGCCCCCUGGUGGUCAUAAAUAGAAAAGACGAACCACAGAGAGGAUCCUGGCAUUUGGCAACUCCGCUUCUUUCCCUCUCCGCCCUCCGAGCCUACUUCUUUCCCAUUGGAGGAAAGGACCGGGCCUUGUCCCUCCUGGAAUCUCCAGAGCCCCCUGCACAGCAGGUGAGGCCUCUCCAGAGGACAGCUCACAACAUGGCAGCUGGCUUCCAUCGGAGCAGACAGGGGAGAGAGAGGGGUGGAAGCCAAAGUGGUUUUGAAACUGAUCUCGGCUGUGACAUCAUUUAGGCUGCAUCUGUGCAUUGGAAGUGACUCACCGGGCGCAGCCCACACUCACGGCGAGGGGAUUGCACAGGACGAUGAAGACUGGGAGCCAUCUCAGUGGCUGAGUACACAGUUCAAAUCCCAAAUGAAGGCCAGAGUUAGGCCGUUUCACAUUCUUACAGCUCCCCCCCGCCAUCCCUGUCCAGGACAACGCUGAUACAUUCUCCAGGCUUCAGAGUAAAAGCGUCACCCUCCAGGAUUGAGUUAUGUGUCCCUCAGACAAGUCUCUGUGACACCCUGCACUUUAUCAUAGUCCCGACCACACUGUGACUUCCGUGGCCACUGGUCUGCCUCGCCCGCCUUCUGACAGAAGCUCUGAGGACAGCAGCUUGUCUCUUCUCUGCACUGAUGUGGACCCAGACCCAGGCACAGGCCCAAAAAUGUAGUAGGUGAAGAGCCAAACUAACGCCAUGACAGGCUUCAAAUAAACCUCAGAAACUAGAAGGCCUAAGUUACUGUUUUCCCAGGAGUGACUCAGCAGCGGUGGAAAGAAAAAAUGACCCACAGCGACGUAUUGUCCGAGCGAGCACCACCCCUAGCCUGGGCCAAUCAUAAAACGCCUGAUGUUCCUGCUGUUUAGUGAGCCCGCUUAGUUUUAAGUUAGCCAACCACCCCGUGCCGCACCAACCUCUACCGAUGCGCCAUCAUAUCAUCGUGUACUCCCUGCCCCUCACCCCACCUUUCACCCCCUCCCUUGCCCCCAACUGUAAUAAAAACCCUGCCCAACUGACGAU
Suricata suricatta (meerkat) is the source of this 1742-nucleotide long non-coding RNA. RefSeq lists it as uncharacterized. The record is from RefSeq and is a predicted model, not a curated record. Lineage: Eukaryota; Metazoa; Chordata; Mammalia; Carnivora; Herpestidae. The transcript has 3 exons.